Acanthosepion pharaonis is the source of this 88-nucleotide non-coding RNA. The record is from the annotation of a GenBank genome assembly. NCBI's taxonomy places the organism in Eukaryota, Metazoa, Mollusca, Cephalopoda, Sepiida, Sepiidae.
GUUGAAACACCGGUUCCCGUACGAUCACCGAACUUAAGCAACGUCGAACUUGGUCAGUAGCUAGAUGGGUGACCGAUUGGAAAUACCA